AGAUCAUUCGGAAUGCGAUCUCAUAUUUCACGAAUAUAUUUAACUAAAACGCGUUUCUAAGAACAUUUUAAGAGAGAAAUAGGCCGUGCAGUUGAUGAAUCGGUCUCAUUUCAGAACGACAAAGGUCAGUUUAAAAGAUUUUCGUCAGAUUUUGAGAAGCAUUAGUUAUGCUUUUCCCUUGUCAUUUCUGGGUUAGCACUGCACCAAUCAGAUUGGUCAUUGAGUCUGAUUGCCCGCCUUCUGAUUCAACAUGUAAAAUCGGGCCAAAUGAAGGCCGACGGCUCCUCCGACUGACGACGGCAAGGAACACACCGAACAGACUCGAGUCACUGACCUCGCCAGACUGUCCGACGACCGGUAAUCGGGUUGGUGUGCCAGCGCCUUAACACACACUCAUAA
Molecule: long non-coding RNA, 399 nt
Organism: Etheostoma spectabile (orangethroat darter)
Lineage: Eukaryota; Metazoa; Chordata; Actinopteri; Perciformes; Percidae
Exons: 3
Source: RefSeq, a predicted model, not a curated record